CAAAUGAAUUGGACGGGGAGCACUACAACGGGUGGAGCCUGCGGUUUAAUUGGACUCAACGCCGGAAAACUCACCGGGGGCGGCAGCAAUAUGUAGGUCAAGCUAAAGACUUUACCAGAAUCGCUGAGAGGAGGUGCAUGGCCGUCGUCAGUUCGUACUGUGAAGCAUCCUGUUAAGUCAGGCAACGAGCGAGACCCGUGCCCACUGUUGCCAGCAUGUCCUUCGGGAUGAUGGGUACUCUGUGGGACCGCCGAUGCUAAAUCGGAGGAAGGUGCGGGCUACGGUAGGUCAGUAUGCCCCGAAUCUCCCGGGCUACACGCGGGCUACAAUGACUGGGACAAUGGGCUCCUACCCCGAAAGGGGAUGGUAAUCUCAUAAACCCAGCCUUAGUUCGGAUCGAGGGCUGUAACCCGCCCUCGUGAAGCUGGAAUCCGUAGUAAUCGCGUUUCAACAUAGCGCGGUGAAUACGUCCCUGCUCCUU
This 481-nucleotide ribosomal RNA is filed under the name uncultured Methanomethylovorans sp. RNAcentral's name for it is "bacterial SSU rRNA". It matches the Rfam family "Archaeal small subunit ribosomal RNA", at positions 857 to 1338 of the family's 1478-position model. Lineage: Archaea; Methanobacteriati; Methanobacteriota; Methanomicrobia; Methanosarcinales; Methanosarcinaceae. The record is from RNAcentral.